Xiphias gladius (swordfish) is the source of this 1585-nucleotide long non-coding RNA. RefSeq lists it as uncharacterized. The transcript is spliced from 4 exons. Lineage: Eukaryota; Metazoa; Chordata; Actinopteri; Istiophoriformes; Xiphiidae. The record is from RefSeq and is a predicted model, not a curated record.
AGGCAGAAUUUGUUGGAUUAGAUGUUUAGUUUUAGCCAGGUGCACUAAAUAGAGCAGACAAUCAAGUGUGAAUAGGGACUAUACCUAACGCAGGAGCCUAAACUCUUACUAUGCUUUCAGUUUAGAAUUUGCACUUCUGUUUAAAAAGCCAUGUAUCGUAGGAUUUGUUCACAUCAUUUCUAAAAUGAGACAGAGGCACUUAAACCCAGCUUGCACAAAAGUGCAUAGUCACGCUAGAAGGAACCACAUGAGCAUCAACCUACAGUUUGUGCUGCGGGAUUUAGCCUAUGAACUAGCCCUGCUUGUUGUGAUGGCACAAAUGCUAUAAGCCACUACAUUUGACACAGUUUCCAUUCUCUGACCUUGGACACGCCCGAGAUGAUCAGUGUGCUCCUUUUUGUUGGUGUCUUCCGUGCUACUUUGGAGGCGGACUCUGUCAGCUGGCGAAUGGCCGUCUCUGCAACAGGAUCCAGGCCAUUAGAGAGGCGGCUGCUCUCUGAGCAACAAGAACAUAAAUAUCUUGCAUGGAGUCACGGUCAGAGAAAAUGAUGGCUGCUUGGAAAGAGUCCAGGACAUCAGCAGACCCUCGUCCUCCACGUCUUCCAGACACACCACCACCUGAAGGAGACAGACAGGGGGAGCGAGGCAGCCAUCUGGGGCACUGUGGUGUUGUGCAUCCUCCUGGCAGAGGCUACAGAGCUCAUUUUGUCAUGGAGAGGGGAAUGCUAGCAGCAUUACCACAGAUUUGUCCUUGUGAACCACCGCUGAUCAACUGAGUGUGUAUUGGAGGGUAUUUCUGGAGAGGCACAGCUCCUGAGGACAUCCAUGGUGUCAUUUCAGGUUUGUCAGCGUCAGCCCCUUUGGGUCCGACUGGCCAAACGCCUCUGAAAAGCGUGUGGGUCAACCAGAAAUACACUCUCCCUGUGGCUUUUGUUGACCCUCAUCUUCCUCCCCUGUCUUUUCUUUCAGUUGCAUGUAUCUGAGGUUCAGGCAACAACAGGGCAUAAACUUUGUGGUUUAGAAUAAGCUAUUUCAAAUGUUUUUUGGUUUUUGUACUUUGACAACGAUAAAACAUCUAACAAUGAUUUGGAAUUGUUUGAAAGGGAAACAUUUUAGCCCACAUACAUAAACACACUGGUUUGAUAACUUGAAAGUGUCAACAUAAAACACGUUAAAGGUUCUUGUUUUUUGCUACCCACGCUAGCAGUGUAACUCAAGGGAUGGCAAUGUUUGCUAGCAAUGUUAACAUACUAACAUUGCUAACAAAAAAGAAAAUGCUAGAAUGCUAACAUACUAGAAAAACGGUGAACAUGGUAACCAUUACCUGCAAUAUAUCAGCAUAUUAGCAGUGUCAUUGUGACCAUGCUAGCAUGCUGCUGUUAGCAUUUACCCUCACACUGCAGCUAGCAUGACUUUUAUUCUAUAAACUGUUGAAAUCUAUUAAACAAUCCAUGCAUCAGCCAUCAAUCAUGCUUUGCUAGACUUAAACUGAUAUUGAGUAGGCAUGUGAAUUUCAACUGAUUUUAUAUUUUCAAUUUGAUAUUUGUCAGUGUUUUGAGAACUGCUCUACAUGCGCUAUACAUGG